GCGGUAGUCGACGUCGAGGUUAGGCCGCGUCCGCCUCCCGCCCGCCUCCCGCGGAACGGGCGCCGCGGGCCGCUCUGGAAAGGAAGAGGUCCGGCUGGCCGCGCCCCCGCCGCCUCCGCAGAGACCGCGCUGCCGCGGCCACGAGAACCCCCGGAGCCGGGAGCCGGGCCGAGUCCCAAGCGCUCGCCCCCGCCUCGCGCCCCCCGCGCCUCCUCCCUCGCGGCCCCGGAGCCGCAGGUCGGUGACUGGACCAGCCGGGAAGGGAGGCGGGGCGGGCCCUGCUUGCCAGGCGCUCGGCGCAGACUUUUUUCUCUUUCCGUUUCGCGAUCCUCGGGACCUCCCAGGGCUAGGAGCUGCGCGCCCCACCCGGCCCGCGAGGGGAUGGCAACUACCCGGGGUCCGGAGGCGGGGCUGCGAGUGUCGGGGCGGGGGGCGCGGGCCGGGUCGAGCACCGCCCCGACGAGGGCCCAGGCCAGUCCGGCCCGCCCCGGGUUCCCUCCGUGCCUCAGGUCCCCUCCGUGCCCCGCGUCCUCCCGCGCAUUCCGGUCAUGCCUCAGCCGCGCCAAGGCCUGGGACACGGCCGGACAGACCGCGGGGCAGCCCUCGGAGAAGUGGGAAGAGGGGAGAAAACAGUGGCGAAAAGAAGGUCUCCUGGGAAGGAGCGCCCUGGGAAGCUGGACGCGGUGGGUGCUCUUGAGGGGCCUCAGGAGUGGACUUGGGGAAACCGCCCGCCCUGAAAACUGACUCAGCGGCGCGUUACUGAGGCCGUUCCUAGUUGGAAGAGAAUUAAUAGCACUUGUUUGAGAAUUACAAGUUAGUUCCAGAAAUGAAUCGAGUGACCUCACAGCCCGUAGGCAGGGGUGGGAGAGCCAGGGUGAGCCCCUCACCUCACCCCGCCCCCGCCCCGGCAGCGCUCUGGAAAGCCUCAAAGCCCAGCGCUGCGCGGAAAUGUUAGAGGCCCAAGGCAGGUGGCCUGUCUGGACUCAGACCCGACCCAGAUGUCCCCCCAGGUCCCUACCACUCAGUCCCACCUGCCUCGACUCAGUCCCGACCCAGAUGACCACCCCCCCCCCGCCCCCACCACGACCAACUUUUAUUCCGACUGCGCCAGUGACUUGCAGAUAGCAUAGCUUCAAAUUUCCUCACCUGGUCUGGGGCGGUGAACAGGUCAAGAUGGAGAGUGUCAAGAGAGACUUUUGCUUUGUCUAUGAUGUUUUUAUAUACACUUGCUAAUUAAAUGAACGCAUAUG
This 1250-nucleotide long non-coding RNA is filed under the name Homo sapiens (human). RNAcentral's name for it is "HSALNT0331900". Lineage: Eukaryota; Metazoa; Chordata; Mammalia; Primates; Hominidae. The record is from RNAcentral.